UACGUAGGGCGCAAGCGUUAUCCGGGAUUAUUUGGCGUAAAGAGCUCGUAGGCGGGUUGUCGCGUCUGCCGUGAAAGUCCGGGGCUCAACUCCGGAUCUGCGGUGGGUACGGGCAGACUAGAGUGAUGUAGGGGAGACUGGAAUUCCUGGUGUAGCGGUGAAAUGCGCAGAUAUCAGGAGGAACACCGAUGGCGAAGGCAGGUCUCUGGGCAUUAACUGACGCUGAGGAGCGAAAGCGUGGGGAGCAAACAGG
This 253-nucleotide ribosomal RNA is filed under the name uncultured bacterium. RNAcentral's name for it is "partial 16S ribosomal RNA". It matches the Rfam family "Bacterial small subunit ribosomal RNA", at positions 524 to 776 of the family's 1533-position model. The record is from RNAcentral.